GAGGGUACAGCUCAAGUGGUAGAGUGCAUGCUUAGCAUGCACAAGGUCCUGGGUUCAAUCCCCAGUACCUUCU
Molecule: transfer RNA, 73 nt
Filed under: Camelus bactrianus (Bactrian camel)
Lineage: Eukaryota; Metazoa; Chordata; Mammalia; Artiodactyla; Camelidae
Also listed under: 2 other names
Rfam family: tRNA
About the family: Transfer RNA (tRNA) molecules are approximately 80 nucleotides in length. Their secondary structure includes four short double-helical elements and three loops (D, anti-codon, and T loops). Further hydrogen bonds mediate the characteristic L-shaped molecular structure. tRNAs have two regions of fundamental functional importance: the anti-codon, which is responsible for specific mRNA codon recognition, and the 3' end, to which the tRNAs corresponding amino acid is attached (by aminoacyl-tRNA synthetases). tRNAs cope with the degeneracy of the genetic code in two manners: having more than one tRNA (with a specific anti-codon) for a particular amino acid; and 'wobble' base-pairing, i.e. permitting non-standard base-pairing at the 3rd anti-codon position.
Source: Rfam by way of RNAcentral